RNAcentral lists this ribosomal RNA (473 nucleotides) under uncultured bacterium. Its description in RNAcentral is "bacterial SSU rRNA". It matches the Rfam family "Bacterial small subunit ribosomal RNA", at positions 335 to 802 of the family's 1533-position model. The record is from RNAcentral.
ACUCCUACGGGAGGCAGCAGUAGGGAAUCUUCCACAAUGGGCGCAAGCCUGAUGAAGCAACACCGCGUGAGUGAAGAAGGGUUUCGGCUCGUAAAGCUCUGUUGUUAAAGAAGAACACGUAUGAGAGUAACUGUUCAUACGUUGACGGUAUUUAACCAGAAAGUCACGGCUAACUACGUGCCAGCAGCCGCGGUAAUACGUAGGUGGCAAGCGUUAUCCGGAUUUAUUGGGCGUAAAGAGAGUGCAGGCGGUUUUCUAAGUCUGAUGUGAAAGCCUUCGGCUUAACCGGAGAAGUGCAUCGGAAACUGGAUAACUUGAGUGCAGAAGAGGGUAGUGGAACUCCAUGUGUAGCGGUGGAAUGCGUAGAUAUAUGGAAGAACACCAGUGGCGAAGGCGGCUACCUGGUCUGCAACUGACGCUGAGACUCGAAAGCAUGGGUAGCGAACAGGAUUAGAUACCCUGGUAGGCUACCG